UACGUAGGUGGCGAGCGUUACUCGGAAUCACUGGGCAUAAAGGGCGUGUAGGCGGGUGCGUAAGUCCGGUGUGAAAGCCCCCGGCUCAACCGGGGAAAGCCAUCGGAUACUGCGUGUCUUGAGUGCGGGAGGGGAGAGUGGAACUCUUGGUGGAGCGGUGAAAUGCGUAGAUAUCAAGAGGAACGCCGGUGGCGAAAGCGACUCUCUGGCCCGUAACUGACGCUGAGGCGCGAAAGCCAGGGGAGCAAAC
Molecule: ribosomal RNA, 250 nt
Filed under: uncultured bacterium
Lineage: Bacteria
Description: partial 16S ribosomal RNA
Rfam family: Bacterial small subunit ribosomal RNA
Source: RNAcentral